CUUAUCUCUCCUGCUGCAUAACCAGGCUUAUCAAUGUCCUUGAAAGGUGAUUCCUUGAAUAGUUUGUGGAUUGCCAUUCGCCCCUUAGGCUCAGUGUUGUGGCAACUCCCCAGCUCUGGACCAGUAUCGUUGGAGGGCAGUGAGGGUGCGUUUGUGCGCUCUUGGCAACGCAAAGUCCGGUGCAGGGGUGACUCCCAAGCUGGUGAGUAAUGGUCCCGCGUCCGUUU
Molecule: non-coding RNA, 227 nt
Organism: Pelobates cultripes (western spadefoot toad)
Lineage: Eukaryota; Metazoa; Chordata; Amphibia; Anura; Pelobatidae
Source: the annotation of a GenBank genome assembly